UGACAUUUGUGCAAACAGGUGGCGACACACAUGCAAAACCUUUGCAUGGAAGAAACACUUUGAGAAUUGAGAUUAAUCACUCUCUCUUGUUUGAGUAUUGAAGGAAAAAGUGGGUCCAUGAGAGAUGGAGAAUCCUGCAAACUGAAGCUAUACAUCACGAGGAUAACACUUUCUCACAUGAUUUCUCAAUCUUUCUACCUUUU
This 203-nucleotide long non-coding RNA is filed under the name Vigna radiata. RNAcentral's name for it is "long non-coding RNA (VRAD_LNC005691)". Lineage: Eukaryota; Viridiplantae; Streptophyta; Magnoliopsida; Fabales; Fabaceae. The record is from RNAcentral.